This 804-nucleotide ribosomal RNA is filed under the name Triticum aestivum (bread wheat). Its description in RNAcentral is "partial small subunit ribosomal RNA". Lineage: Eukaryota; Viridiplantae; Streptophyta; Magnoliopsida; Poales; Poaceae. The record is from RNAcentral.
AUGGUCCCAACUAAGAAACCUGGACACUAUAUCUCUAAGUGUCCACAGUGGGACAAUGAGAAGAAGAAGAAGAGCAAAGAAUAUGAUUCUGAUGACAAGAAGAAGAAGAAAUCUUCAAAGUCUUCUUCUAGGUCCUCAUCAAGGUCUUCAUCUCAUAAGAAGAGCUCAUCUGGCAAGGCUCGUGCUUUUGUUGGCAAGGAAAUGGAUUCAGAGGAGGAAUCUGCUUCUGAGGAGGCGGAGGUGGAGUCUGAAGAGGAGUCCGACCCUGCCGUUGCAAGUCUGGCUCUAGCCACAGCCUAUGUUGCCAAGUCCAUCUUCAACACUGAGGACAAUGACUUCCACACCAACGCUGAAGCUGAUGACAAGGACGAUCCUGCUCCCACCUACUGCUUCAUGGCACGUGGUGCCAAGGUAAAAUCACGUGAUGCUUACUUUCAAACAUCAAGUGAAGAUGACUCUGAUUGUGAAUCCAAACCCAGCUACAAAACACUUGCUAAAAUUGCAACUGAACAACAAAAAGCUAUGGAACAUACUCAAAAACUGUUAGACAAAAGCGAUGACCUGUUGGACGCGGAAAUGACACGUUCACAAUCCUUAGUUGAAGACAUAAAAAAUCUUCAUGCUAAGUACCAAGAACUUGAAAGUCUUCAUGAGAUGCUCUCAACCACUUAUGAAAAGCUCUCCUAUGAUUAUCUUCAAAGGAAGCAAGAGCUUGAGAAAUUGAGAGCGGCUCAUGAAGAUCUUCAAAAGGAGAAUAAGUCACUUCGCGCUCAACAGAUCAGUCCCGCUCUAGAUAGAUUUGAA